AACCUAGCACACCUGCGGUGUGUACCUGCGGAAGGAUCAUUACACAAAUUAAAAUAUGAAGGCUUCGGCUGGAUUAUUUUUAUCACCCUUGUCUUUUGCGCACUUGUUGUUUCCUGGGCGGGUUCGCCCGCCACCAGGACCACACCAUAAACCUUUUUUAUGCAGUUGCAAUCAGCGUCAGUAUAACAAAUGUAAAUCAUUUACAACUUUCAACAACGGAUCUCAGAUCGGAAGAGCACA
RNAcentral lists this unclassified non-coding RNA (240 nucleotides) under soil metagenome. RNAcentral describes it as "partial contains 5.8S ribosomal RNA, internal transcribed spacer 2, and large subunit ribosomal RNA". The record is from RNAcentral.